UGGGGAAUAUUGCACAAUGGGGGAAACCCUGAUGCAGCGACGCCGCGUGAGGGAAGAAGGUUUUCGGAUUGUAAACCUCUGUCUUUGGUGACGAAAGAUGACGGUAGCCAAAGAGGAAGCUACGGCUAACUACGUGCCAGCAGCCGCGGUAAUACGUAGGUGGCAAGCGUUGUCCGGAAUUACUGGGUGUAAAGGGAGCGUAGGCGGGAAGACAAGUUGAAUGUUUAAACUAUCGGCUCAACCGAUAAUCGCGUUCAAAACUGUUUUUCUUGAGUGAAGUAGAGGCAGGCGGAAUUCCUAGUG
This 303-nucleotide ribosomal RNA is filed under the name uncultured bacterium. RNAcentral describes it as "bacterial SSU rRNA". It matches the Rfam family "Bacterial small subunit ribosomal RNA", at positions 355 to 675 of the family's 1533-position model. The record is from RNAcentral.